RNAcentral lists this ribosomal RNA (429 nucleotides) under uncultured bacterium. RNAcentral describes it as "bacterial SSU rRNA". It matches the Rfam family "Bacterial small subunit ribosomal RNA", at positions 355 to 801 of the family's 1533-position model. The record is from RNAcentral.
UCGGGAAUUUUGGGCAAUGGGGGAAACCCUGACCCAGCAACGCCGCGUGAAGGAUGAAGUAUUUCGGUAUGUAAACUUCGAAAGAAUAGGAAGAAUAAAUGACGGUACUAUUUAUAAGGUCCGGCUAACUACGUGCCAGCAGCCGCGGUAAUACGUAGGGACCAAGCGUUGUUCGGAUUUACUGGGCGUAAAGGGCGCGUAGGCGGCAUGACAAGUCACUUGUGAAAUCUCUGGGCUUAACCCAGAACGGCCAAGUGAUACUGUCGCGCUAGAGUGCAGAAGGGGCAAUCGGAAUUCUUGGUGUAGCGGUGAAAUGCGUAGAUAUCAAGAGGAACACCUGAGGUGAAGACGGGUUGCUGGGCUGACACUGACGCUGAGGCGCGAAAGCCAGGGGAGCAAACGGGAUUAGAUACCCACGUAGUCCCUGAG